Molecule: ribosomal RNA, 590 nt
Filed under: uncultured bacterium
Lineage: Bacteria
Description: bacterial SSU rRNA
Rfam family: Bacterial small subunit ribosomal RNA
Source: RNAcentral
GGGUGAGUAACGCGUAUGCGACCUGCCCGUCACAGGGGGAUAAUCCGGAGAAAUCCGGUCUAAUACCGCAUAAUAUCGUGAAGCUGCAUGGUUUUGCGAUUAAAGGAGCGAUCCGGUGACGGAUGGGCAUGCGUGACAUUAGCUAGUCGGCGGGGUAACGGCCCACCGAGGCGACGAUGUCUAGGGGUUCUGAGAGGAAGGUCCCCCACACUGGUACUGAGACACGGACCAGACUCCUACGGGAGGCAGCAGUGAGGAAUAUUGGUCAAUGGGCUUACGCCUGAACCAGCCAAGUCGCGUGAGGGAAGACUGCCCUAUGGGUUGUAAACCUCUUUUGUCAGGGAGCAACGCCGGCUACGUGUAGCCGGACUGAGAGUACCUGAAGAAAAAGCAUCGGCUAACUCCGUGCCAGCAGCCGCGGUAAUACGGAGGAUGCGAGCGUUAUCCGGAUUUAUUGGGUUUAGAGGGUGCGUAGGCGGAAUGCCAAGUCAGCGGUAAAAUCGCGGGGCUCAACCUCGCUCCGCCGUUGAAACUGGCGUUCUUGAGUGGGCGAGAAGUAUGCGGAAUGCGUGGUGUAGCGGUGAAAUGCA